GAUAGUAUCUCAUAAUUAUGAGAUAGUAUCUCAUAAUUAUGACUUAGCUAUCUCAUUAUUAUGACUUAGUAUCUCAUAAUUAUGAGAUAGUAUCUCAUAAUAAUGAGAUAAAUUCUGCUGGCCUCCACGGACUUCCGUUUUUGCACUUCCGUAUUUUUCAAACUGCAGCAGCAGCGCAGCACACAACUUCGUUCACGCUGAGUGGUCAGAAUGGCUAUUUGUACGCGUUUGCUGCUAGACCUCCCAAGAAUAAUGGUUAACGAUGUACACCGAAUCUUUCUUGCCUCGUCCGAAAUGCCAAAAUCUAGUAUGGACAAAGCUUGUAUUGUAUGUGCCCGGCUACAUACACAGCUAUGAAGGUAAGCUAACAAACUUCUGCUGUGAGUUACUAAAGAUGCUACACGCUAGCUCUCCACUAGCCUAAGUUAACACAAUAAGGAAACGUUAUUGGAGCGAUAAGUAAGGUCAUGCGUAUUUUUCGUGUCUGAAAUUAAAAAAAAAAACAGUUUUUAUGUUAUUCUCAGUUUUAAUCAUGCAGUCAGGAGAGGUCACGGUUAGGUCCGAGUGUUUCAGGUCAAUGAGGAAAAACCAGAAGCCCCACCGUCUGAGUGUAGGGAAACGUUUCCCUGCAGGUUCAGUGCAGGAUUGAUUCAGGUUCAAAAGAAGACUGUUCAUGUUUUUAAACGUCACAUUUUUGCGAGUCAUAUCAUUGCUUUUAGUUUGAUAACAGGUUAAUGACAUGCCUGAACUAUUGUGUCAUGUGGUAUCAGAGAUAAAAUGUGUCCCAGAAAGAAUAUAGUAAGUAAAGUUUGUAUAAAUAGCAUGUCACAGAAAGUCAAACAUUAGAUGACUCGCAGAAGCACAACAUUGUUUACAGUUAUUUUAUUUUUGUCCACUACUUGUUCUACUCUUCUAUUUUAAAAUGAGUUAAGUGAAGUUAAUCAUCAAUGUUUGUCUCUCCUUAAAUGCAGUUGUACUCUAACAAAUAUUCUGUGUUGUAACAGAUUGUGCUAAGGGAUUCAAAGCCGGUGGGGGUGCCAGUGUAUGUGUGGCAGGUGCAGCCUUGUGAUGUCAUGUGGCAGCUCAACUCUACCAGACGGCACAUUUCUCCUAGCUGAAACUUACAUCGGUCCCCCCCCCCCCCCCCCCCCCCCCCCCCCCCCCCCACACACACACACACACACACAGUGUUCAGCUGCACAGAAACUGAACAACAGUGGCACAAAACGGGGACCAAGGUUACAAUCUUUUAAUGAUACUAUUAUUAUGUGUAUACAUAUUUCUGUUAUAACAUUUAAACUUGUUUUUAUUUGGAAACAAGGUAUUAAACCAGGUCCAGUUAAUGACAUGGUCAUCAUAUCAGCCAGACAAAGAGAGAAGAGACCGGUAGAAUGAACAAGAAGCAGUUUGUAAAAAGGAGUCAGCUUCCCCGAUGACAGCUUCAUUCUGAAGGUGCAGGAGGCGUACCACAGACUUGGUGCAGAUGAGGCUCCGGUGAUGACAACCAUGGCUGUCUCUGGUGAUGUACCUCUGGUUGGGUCCACGUUUGGUUCGGUGCAGGAGGGAAGCGGGCCAUCUUACCAACUACCAGUGAGGACGGCCCCCAGGACGCGUCCACACAAAGACAACCCUUCUCUCCCACAACUGUCUCUCUCUCAUUAUAGACUGGGACCCUCUGCAUGUGCAUUUGUGUUUACUGAACAUCAUCAUUUCACAUCCCUCACAACAUCAUUGGGGAAAUCAUACAAAGCUGAGAACAGAACACAAUCACAGAGUUUCUGUGUGGAGGGGCACCAACUAAGGAGAUGCCACAUCACUUCUACAAAAUUUAGAUAAGUGUGUCACACCAGGGCAGAAGGUUCUGCUGAGAACCUUGUGAAACAGCCUAUGUGAACAAGUAGUCAGACUGAUGACAAAUGUUGGGGUCUUGCUUUGGAGCCUACAGCCAUCAAGGAGUACUGCAAGGUAAUAGAGGUAAACCACUACCCUUGUGGGGUCCUGAUCCACCUUGAGGCACCAUGGAUGGGUUCAACACCAGAUGGGAUUAUGUAUGAUCCUGAGGGCAGCCUGAGUGUGGCCUGCUGGAAAUAAAAUGCCUAAAUGUGUGUAGCUUUGUGGAUUAUUAUGCUCAGAAAAGGUUUACUCUCUGUGGCGAUCUCAUCCUCAUUACUGGCAGGUCGGUGUUGACUGUUGAUUUCUCCAUGUGAGUGGUGUGACUUUGUUGUUUACACCACAGAUGACAUGUUUAUUCAGCGAGUUCCCCGUGACAUGGAAGUCAUACAGACACUAUUGUAAUGUUUUCAUUGCUGUUUAAAUGUAAAGACUUACUGUGGGGGAAAUUCAAUGUAAAUCUGCAGUAAAAUUAAAUAGUUCUGCACUUU
Nothobranchius furzeri (turquoise killifish) is the source of this 2381-nucleotide non-coding RNA. The record is from RefSeq and is a predicted model, not a curated record. Lineage: Eukaryota; Metazoa; Chordata; Actinopteri; Cyprinodontiformes; Nothobranchiidae.